RNAcentral lists this long non-coding RNA (667 nucleotides) under Malus domestica (apple). Its description in RNAcentral is "long non-coding RNA (MDOM_LNC005559)". Lineage: Eukaryota; Viridiplantae; Streptophyta; Magnoliopsida; Rosales; Rosaceae. The record is from RNAcentral.
GUAGACAUUGAAAUUUUGGUGGCAUAAAUGUUAGCGCUUGCAUUAAGAUUACAUUUGUAAACAUUGAAAUUUUAGUGAAAUAAAUGUUGACCAUUGUGUUAAAACUACAACCUCCACCCGAAUUCACCUACAACCUCCACCCAAAUUCACCUACAACAAUCCAUCCAAAUUCACCUACAACCUCCACCCAAAUUCACCUACAACAAUCCAUCCAAAUUCACCUACAACCUCCACCCAAAUUCACCUACAACAAUCCAUCCAAAUUCACCUACAACCUCCCCACCCAAAUUCACCUACAAAAUCCAUCCAAAUUCACCUACAAACCUCCAUCCAAAUUCACCUACAACAAUCCACCCAAAUCCCUACAAUCCAAAAUUCACCUACAACCUCCACCCAAAUUCACCUACCCAAAUUCACCUACAACAUACACCCAAAUUCACCUACAACAAUCCAACCAAAUUCACCUACAACCUCCACCCAAUUCACCUACAACACCUACAACAUCCACCAAAACAAUGGAUGGUGGUGGUUCAUUCCCAAAGCCUAUAAAUAGGCUCCUCCAUCAAAGAAUCAAAGGAGGAUUUUUACACACACUUUCUCUACUCCCAAAUUGGAAGAAAAUUCACACCACACUAAAGACUUGAAGCUUCGAAACUUUGAAGCUCNN